RNAcentral lists this long non-coding RNA (678 nucleotides) under Helianthus annuus (common sunflower). RNAcentral describes it as "sRNA HanXRQr2_Chr02g0079721". The record is from RNAcentral. Lineage: Eukaryota; Viridiplantae; Streptophyta; Magnoliopsida; Asterales; Asteraceae.
UGAUGUUUUUCAUUAUUCACGUUUUCCCCUAAACAGACCCUAAUGGUGACGACAUCGGUUUUUCCAAUCCUAUUCUCUAUUUUGCCCAAAUCAAGAUAAGGGUUCUUUUAUUUUCGAUCAACGUUUAUUAUAUAAUGCAUCCAUCAAAGAUAAGAUUCACGGGAAAAUAAGUGAAGGUGACUUUGCUUUAUCAACUAGGUAAACAUAACUAAGGUGGCAACCGUUGAGUGAUAAAUGCCAUUCACUUUCUUCUUGUGCAAUCUAGAUAUAGUUUUAUCAGAGCUGUGAAACCAUAUCUCUUUAAGAUGCACUUCUCAACACCCAGGUGAUUCAUGCACCAACAACACUGUUGCAUCUGCUGCAAGCUAACAGGAGAAGGCUCUACGCGAAGCCUAGACCAAAACCCAAAACAGCACUAGAAAUGUUGCUGUUGCAAAGAUCUGGAAGCUUUUAGGUGAGCAGUUGCUACUCAAAGACACCCUGAAUGAUUCUGUUGUCUACAAAAAAGAUCAAAGAUAUCAUGGUAAGGUGAGAGGAAUCAGUGAUUUGUUAAGGCAACUUACUAACAGUUGAAAAACAAUUAUACUUAUAUUAGAAGUAAGAUGUCAGUUAAUGUUUUCUACAUGUCAGACUGAGACUGUAUUACGUUAAUAUGUUAUUUUAUUUAAUUAUAAUCUA